Ananas comosus (pineapple) is the source of this 244-nucleotide long non-coding RNA. RefSeq lists it as uncharacterized. Lineage: Eukaryota; Viridiplantae; Streptophyta; Magnoliopsida; Poales; Bromeliaceae. The transcript has 2 exons. The record is from RefSeq and is a predicted model, not a curated record.
CGCUAGUUACGGUAGAGGCCGUUCUAGUUCUAUUUACACCGAGACGUGCAAGAUUGUUCUUGACACAGUUCGAGACGUGGAUUCUAGUUAUUGACACCACUACAGGUUCCAGUGCGAGCGUUGUGGCCGAGGAUCGAGGCAAGAGCCAGCAGCCUAGCUAGUGGACACCCGAGUACUAGUGGUAUACCAUUUUGGGUUCGUGUAUCAUCUAUUUUGAUGUACGGAGACAUAUAAAUGAAUGUAU